Molecule: non-coding RNA, 73 nt
Organism: Nematostella vectensis (starlet sea anemone)
Lineage: Eukaryota; Metazoa; Cnidaria; Anthozoa; Actiniaria; Edwardsiidae
Source: Rfam
GGGGAUGUAGCUCAGUGGUAGAGCUUCCGCUUCGCAUGCGGAAAGCCCGGGGUUCCAUCCCCCCGCAUCUCCA